CUGAGUUCUACAAAAACUCCCAACCCUUUGUGAACCUUAUUUCAGUUGCCUCGGCGCUGAGCGGUAGCUACCCGGGAAGAGCUACCCUGGAGACAUCCGGGGCGACCUACCCUGUAGUUGCACCUAACGCUCCGCCGGUGGACCACUACACUCUGUUUUUAACCACUGUAUCUCUGAAUUACUUAACGAAAUACGUUA
This 198-nucleotide unclassified non-coding RNA is filed under the name uncultured Hypoxylon. Its description in RNAcentral is "sequence contains ITS1". Lineage: Eukaryota; Fungi; Ascomycota; Sordariomycetes; Xylariales; Xylariaceae. The record is from RNAcentral.